UAUCAUGAAAAUGAAUUACCAUUUUUCAACAUUAGCACACGAUACCUUGAUGUCACAGGGAGGGCGGCUGAUCAAAAUCAUGAUGGGACCGACGCUCCAAAAUUGAUGAGACUCAUACAGCAAGAGCUCCAUAAGGAGCUGAAAGUCAUGGCUGGCGAGAGGGAACGAGAGUCGCUUGAUUUCAGUGAAAUAACUGAGGAGGAAAGGAAACAAAUGGAGUAUGAGGAAAGACUGCAAAGGGAACAAGAGGAGCAGGAGGCAAAAGAAUUAGCGGAGAAGAUUCGGAAAGCCAAAUUACGGUCACUGAAACGUCUGGCCCAGAAACUGACCUCAAACUCUGUGAUAAUUUUCUUCCCAACUGUUUACUCUGAAAGUCUUGGUUGUGAACCUGCCUUGAAGUUGCUUCCACUCUAUGAAGAGGCUUCUCUGAGUGUCGUGGAUCAGCUUCCUUUUCAAAUCACCAAGGACAAUCUUGAUUUGGUUUUCUAUGAAUCCGGGCUGGAGCUUACGGACGCUUUUAAAAAGACUCUGACGUCAUUGGAGUGCUAUGUGACGUUACUACAGUAUCAACCGGUCAACCCGGACCCUGAAGCCCCCCUUGAAAAGGAGGAACCUCUUGAUUUGGGCGUCAUAGAACAGAAAACAGUUAUGGUUGCGACAGGCAACGGAGACUGCCUAAAUCCAGCACCUAAGAGUAUAGCGCAGGUGUACAUGAACACAACUGAAUCCGGGGAGAAGGAGAUGGCGUUGUGGACUCCGACCAGUCAUUUGUCGAAAGCAGCGAUUUUUCAGCAAGUUUUCCCGCGGCGCGUAGAGGCUCUGGGUCACGUCGAUGAGAAACUACCACCUCCGUCGUACAUAAUCAUUUACGAGGCUACAAAAGCUCCCGAGCUGAUGGAAACAAUAAAAGAAAACAGUGACAUCGUGGAAAAAUUCGGCUUUUUUGACAGCGCUGAUCCUGCCACUGCCAAGCUCCUUUGCAAAACUCACGAGGAUCUACUCCUUUUCGGCGAAGAUCAGAUUUUACUGAGCAAGCUGGUGAUCGCGAUGAAGGACACGAAGAAGGACGAGUCGAUUCUGUUGUUCUCGCAGCUGUUCCCGAUCUACAUCUCGCCGGACCCGACGAUCGGGCUCAAGGAGCGCGAGCAGUUCUUCCCGUUUGACUUCGACGACUGGGAAGGCAGCGUGGCCGAGGUGAAGCGACAGCGGAAGAUCGCCGAAGAGCAACGGCUCCGGGCCAUCCGGGAGGCAGAGGCAGCUGCCGCAGAAGCCGCGGCCGCCGAAGAGGAGGCUCAAGGAGAGGGUGGUCAAGAGGGCGAGGGGCAGCCAGAGACCGAGGGUGACGCCCCCGAGCAGAAACCAGAAGCUUAA
This 1371-nucleotide long non-coding RNA is filed under the name Bemisia tabaci. Its description in RNAcentral is "lncRNA ENSSSA2NGG012475". Lineage: Eukaryota; Metazoa; Arthropoda; Insecta; Hemiptera; Aleyrodidae. The record is from RNAcentral.